Long non-coding RNA from Dalotia coriaria, 802 nucleotides. RefSeq lists it as uncharacterized. The transcript is spliced from 3 exons. The record is from RefSeq and is a predicted model, not a curated record. NCBI's taxonomy places the organism in Eukaryota, Metazoa, Arthropoda, Insecta, Coleoptera, Staphylinidae.
UUGGUUGCAGUUGGUGAGAGUGUUUGAAGGUCCUUUAUGGGUAUUAAUAUUACUUUCAGGUUUAUCUGUGGCUGUGUAUUAUCAGUUCGAAAAGUUUUUAUGGAAAAAUAGUACGAUUGUUUCACCGUUUUGGGCUGUUUUUGGUUUGUUUUUAUUGCAACCGAUAAGAGUGGAAGAAAUUCCGCUGCAUUUUCGUUCUCGAUCGAUUUUUGCACUUGCGAUUAUCUUGGUGGUUUUGUUUUCUUCUUUAUUUGCAUCUGGUGUUGUUACUCAAAUGAUUUCUCCGCAAUAUGAGCCAGAAAUUAAAAAUGACGAGGAUAUUGCAAAUCAUGGUCUGAUUAAAUUGACACUUGAUGAUGGAGUCUUUGCAUUGUAUGAUAGAGAUGUCUCUUUAUUUGAUCGAAUGGACGAAAUCAACAAUUUGUUUAAACUUCAAGACAAAGUCAUGGACAAAGUAAAAAAAGGAGAAGAAGGAACUAUAAUAUUUCCUAGUUUUGUGACAAGCAGUGGACUUUGUAAAAGUGCUCAUAUAUUCUAUAAUAUGGAUUUUCAGCCCAUGAAAACCAGAGACAGAUCAGGUUAUACACAUAUUCUGGCGAGAAAUAGUGCGUAUGCGUCUCUAAUUCCACAAUUCAACAUUUAUAUGCAGAGGGUUUUUGAGAAUGGAUUGGUUAACGCUUGGGAAUUGCAAAUAUACAGAAUUUAUUAUAAAGUAUUUGCAACUUUAGCCUAUUUGGACAACAAGCCCCCGCCAAAUAUACCAAAAGCGUUAAAUCUGGAACAUUUGCAGGCGCCAUUUUGG